This 207-nucleotide long non-coding RNA is filed under the name Ananas comosus (pineapple). RNAcentral's name for it is "long non-coding RNA (ACOM_LNC021125)". The record is from RNAcentral. Lineage: Eukaryota; Viridiplantae; Streptophyta; Magnoliopsida; Poales; Bromeliaceae.
AUCUUUCUCUUACUUGUUUUCUUCUUUUUCUCUUUUAAAUUUUCUUUCUUCUUUUUUGUAUCUAUCUUUUUCUCACUUCUUGUUCCCUUUUUUUUUCUUUCUGUCUCUUCUAAAUUUUGUUCUCUAAUCUUCACAAAUUAUUUUAAAUUUGUAUCCAUUUAUUAUCAAUCAUAUAUUUUCUGUUAUUUCUUACCAUAUAUUUCUAAA